Molecule: ribosomal RNA, 301 nt
Filed under: uncultured bacterium
Lineage: Bacteria
Description: partial 16S ribosomal RNA
Rfam family: Bacterial small subunit ribosomal RNA
Source: RNAcentral
CAGUAGCCGCGGGAAUACGUAGGGUGCAAGCGUUAAUCGGAAUUACUGGGCGUAAAGCGUGCGCAGGCGGUUUGUUAAGACAGAUGUGAAAUCCCCGGGCUCAACCUGGGAACUGCAUUUGUGACUGGCAAGCUAGAGUCUGGCAGAGGGGGGUGGAAUUCCGCGUGUAGCAGUGAAAUGCGUAGAUAUGCGGAGGAACACCGAUGGCGAAGGCAGCCCCCUGGGCCAACACUGACGCUCAUGCACGAAAGCGUGGGGAGCAAACAGGAUUAGAUACCCCGGUAGUCCCUGUCUCUUAUAC